UGAGGAAUAUUGGACAAUGGGUGAGAGCCUGAUCCAGCCAUCCCGCGUGAAGGACGACGGCCCUAUGGGUUGUAAACUUCUUUUGUAUAGGGNUAAACCUACUCUCGUGAGAGUAGCUGAAGGUACUAUACGAAUAAGCACCGGCUAACUCCGUGCCAGCAGCCGCGGUAAUACGGAGGGUGCAAGCGUUAUCCGGAUUUAUUGGGUUUAAAGGGUCCGUAGGCUGAUUUGUAAGUCAGUGGUGAAAUCUCACAGCUCAACUGUGAAACUGCCAUUGAUACUGCAAGUCUUGAGUGUUGUUGAAGUAGCUGGAACAAGUAGUGUAGCGGUGAAAUGCAUAGAUAUUACUUAGAACACCAAUUGCGAAGGCAGGUUACUAAGCAACAACUGACGCUGAUGG
This 400-nucleotide ribosomal RNA is filed under the name uncultured bacterium. RNAcentral's name for it is "bacterial SSU rRNA". It matches the Rfam family "Bacterial small subunit ribosomal RNA", at positions 355 to 752 of the family's 1533-position model. The record is from RNAcentral.